AUUGGGCGUAAGGGCUCGCAGGCGGUUUCUUAAGUCUGAUGUGAAAGCCCCCGGCUCAUCCGGGGAGGGUCAUUGGAAACUGGGAAACUUGAGUGCCCAUUAGGAGAGUGGAAUUCCACGUGUAGCGGUGAAAUGCGUAGAGAUGUGGAGGAACACCAGUGGCGAAGGCGACUCUCUGGUCUGUAACUGACGCUGAGGAGCGAAAGCGUGGGGAGCGGACCGGAUUAGAUUCCCUGGUAGUCCACGCCGUAAACGAUG
RNAcentral lists this ribosomal RNA (258 nucleotides) under Bacillus subtilis. RNAcentral describes it as "partial 16S ribosomal RNA". It matches the Rfam family "Bacterial small subunit ribosomal RNA", at positions 553 to 811 of the family's 1533-position model. Lineage: Bacteria; Bacillati; Bacillota; Bacilli; Caryophanales; Bacillaceae. The record is from RNAcentral.